GGGGAUAUAGCUCAGCUGGUAGAGUUUUUUGCCUUCCAUGCACAAAGCCCUGGGUUCAAUCCCCAGCACCAUCA
Molecule: transfer RNA, 74 nt
Filed under: Marmota monax (woodchuck)
Lineage: Eukaryota; Metazoa; Chordata; Mammalia; Rodentia; Sciuridae
Rfam family: tRNA
About the family: Transfer RNA (tRNA) molecules are approximately 80 nucleotides in length. Their secondary structure includes four short double-helical elements and three loops (D, anti-codon, and T loops). Further hydrogen bonds mediate the characteristic L-shaped molecular structure. tRNAs have two regions of fundamental functional importance: the anti-codon, which is responsible for specific mRNA codon recognition, and the 3' end, to which the tRNAs corresponding amino acid is attached (by aminoacyl-tRNA synthetases). tRNAs cope with the degeneracy of the genetic code in two manners: having more than one tRNA (with a specific anti-codon) for a particular amino acid; and 'wobble' base-pairing, i.e. permitting non-standard base-pairing at the 3rd anti-codon position.
Source: Rfam by way of RNAcentral